AUGGCCACAUCAUGUUGAAACACUAGCUUCCAUACAAUAACCAAAGUUAAACAGUGUUGAACCAGGCCAGUACUUUGAUGGGUGACCAUUUGGUAAUACCAUGUGCUGUAAG
This is a non-coding RNA of Acanthosepion pharaonis, 112 nucleotides long. The record is from the annotation of a GenBank genome assembly. NCBI's taxonomy places the organism in Eukaryota, Metazoa, Mollusca, Cephalopoda, Sepiida, Sepiidae.